GUGCUACUGUCAUCUCCAUGUCACCAAGGAAGAGACUGAAGUUCCAGCAAACAGUCCCACUUGUUCAUGGUCACACAAGUUUUGUCACCUCAUGUAGACUGAAGAAACAAAUCAAGGCAAGGCUAGCAAAACCAACUCUUAACUAGUAUGUUGAUUAGGAGUUGGCUGCUCAUCUAAGAUGUUGGCAGAAGACAUGAAACUCCUUGGUCAGAGACAAAGGGUUCUGUCAUUCACAGCACACUUACCUCAUAUUUGAAGUUGCUGCAUGGGCUUACAAAGACUAUGAAGAGGAGAUAACGCCAUCGACAUCCCUCUUUUCUUUGUCCAUCUCCCUUCUUAUAUCUGUAUUCUAUUUAUCUCUCCUUACUUGCCUCCAAGUCUCUGCUAUCUCUUACCACAACAUCUCUGUAGUGACUUCGCUUUUGCUGGUCUAUUUAUACUCAGAAGGUUUCGCUGACUACAUCCCUUCCAUCUGUUCUGGAUGAUUAAAUUUUUUCUCAUAU
Long non-coding RNA from Lutra lutra (Eurasian river otter), 503 nucleotides. RefSeq lists it as uncharacterized. The record is from RefSeq and is a predicted model, not a curated record. NCBI's taxonomy places the organism in Eukaryota, Metazoa, Chordata, Mammalia, Carnivora, Mustelidae. The transcript has 4 exons.